AUUAAAGAAAGAACCCUUCCUAUCCACAAUUCACCUUCUUCUGAAUCCACUUACUUCAUUUGAGACCAGAGCAAAAGACGACAAAAUGCCCAAACUGACAGAGGUAGAUCAUAAGGAAAGCUCAGUGAUUUCACUGCUUGCCAUUCAUUUUUUAAAAAAAGCUUUGUCUCUGCAUUUGCAAAGGGCACAAAUCAAUCUUUAUGACACAUUUGAAGAACAUGAAAUGUUUUUACCCAGCAAUGCAGAUAAAGGAUUUUACCAAAAACUUGUUUUGUUUUAUUUUGUUUUUGGGGGGUGGGGUCCUGGUUUUUAGUAAUGACAAAAAUAAGCUAAAGCUUAAACACAAUUCCCUCCCAGAAAAAAAAAAUAAAAAUUAAAAAAAAAAAAGUUUUAUUUAAAUAUUUUGUGUUUUGUUCAUUAAAAAAAAAUAAUAAUAAAUUAUAAAUUGUGUAAAAACAAAAUAUCCCGGCAUUUAGAAAUGAUCAGAGUUGAAUGUUCAGAUUUUUUGCUGACAUGAACCAUUACAAUUGAAUAGUUUCCAAAAGAAUACUGCAUCAGUAUAUUUUCCAGCUGCUUCAAAGGGAGGCCUGAUUACUUGCUCAAGGCUGUAGAUGACAUACUGUUGCCAAAAAUUGGGAUUCCCUGGCUAUUUGCUCAAACCACUGGAAUCCAUCUCCUAAUUUGAUCACUAGCAAUAUUUCUGAAUGAAGAUAGAAGUAAAGAAAGUCUAGAGGCAAAGCUUGUUGGCACUAAGAAUGCAACUCUGUUAGAAAUACUUACAAAAGUCAGGCAAUUUGGUGGUAUUUCACACAGAUAAGUAAACAAUGGCGAGGGAAAAACCACAAACAUAACCAAGUUGAAGCACAAGCUUUUCCUGAAGGUGUGUUCAAAACCUUUUAAAAUGAUGGUCAGUCUCAAUUAUAAUUUCUUUAUUGAUAAAGGACCUCAAAAAUGGGCUGAUCUCUCAGCUCAACGCUUUCUUCCUACUUUUGGAAGAUGGUAAGUAACACAUCGGUGCAAUAAGGGAUAUCCACAGUCUGGUUUUCAAUGCAUGGUUACAAAGCAGUGCCCAUUCCUUGGCAUGAAUAUAUGUUACAAACAUUGUUUACAGAAAACGUGGUCUUCAUAAACCAAAUACUAGGUAAUUACAAUAUGCAAGUUUAAGCAUUAGUCGUUCCUGAUUUUCAUCAAUACUGGCCUUUUUCCAUCAGUGAACUCUUUUAUCAAGUAAAUACAUAUACUCUUUUUCACAUAUUCUGUAAAGAGCAUCCUUUCAGUAACCAAAGCGCCAUCAUAAUUCAGAAUGUUUUUAAUGUAAGAGAGAGUACAAAGAUCUCCAGGCUUUAUUUUUCUGCAAAUGUCACCAGUUCCACUUACACUACUGCAUCCUGAAACUGGUUUUCCUCUGACCUUAUCAAGAACAGCAAUUUUCCUGUCUAACAGCACCUGGGAUCUUGCCAGAAGAAAUCAGAAUCUAAAGUAAAGCUCCGAGAGCAGUGGCAGAGUGUGAAAACAGAAGUGUGUCCUCCAGCCUUCAGAGGGCUUCUGUCAGAAGGGAGCUCGCCCUCAUGGGGCUGCUGUAGCUCAGCUGAGGGCCUGCGAAGGGCACGUGGCAGUUGAAAGGCUUUCUUGUGUGCACGCAUUGGUUUAGCUUAAUAGAAGCUAAGCAAAGGGCAAACAAAGCAGCCCUGUAGUACCUUUCUGGGGAAGAAAAUCUUGGUGCCCACUGGAACUUCGAAGAAGCAAGCUGGCUUGGGAGACCUUGAAUCAUGUCGUCUGCAUAAUGCAGACCGUAUGCAGCGCCUUGGUCUGAUUCCGAUGAUGGUAGUGGCGCUUGCCAGCAGUGUGCUAAGAAUACAGGUUGGCAGAGAGACAGUGUCUGCGGAGGAGCCUCAAGGAAUCCAGCCUUCCUAAACUCAGGGAACGGUGGUGUUAGGGAGAAGCAGGCGCUGUGUCCUCUAUAGCAUGUAAGAUAGGGUUUAUUUGAAAUGCAGCUGCACUGUAUUAACAGCAUUUUGUUUCAGGAAGACUGCUUGGCUCCUAAUUACCACAGACGCCGCUGCAGAGAGGACAGAAUAGCGAGCUUUGGGCACAAUGGAGCUCAGCUCCAUACCCAGGGACUGCAGCCAAGGCCCAGACUGCGAGCAGAAGAUCUGCGUGAAUCACCCUGAGAGGACUGCUGGAGGCUGAGAGACCCUGCUAUUUAGAAGAUCACUCAUCUUUGGAAGAACAUUUGGCAACUCCAGAGAGCUAUUCACAAAGUCUUGGUUGAGCAGAGCAAGUUGCAGCUCCUGGCACAGGGAGAGGAAAAAAGGACUCCUGGAUCUGCUUGCUCUAGAAUGAAAAAGGAACUGUGUGUUGAGGCUUUGGAAAACAUCAAGAGGAGCUUGCACUUUAAGAACUGAUUUGGUCACUACAGUGGUCAGGAUAGAAGCAAGCAUGAAAUCGGCAAGAUAAAGAAGAAGAGAGGCUGGAAGAAAGUUUUAAAGACAGUCGCAGACAUUUUCACACUGCCUAAAAACUGUUCCCCUGCCACAGCAGCCAUCUCCACUGUACAGGGAAAUCAUUUAAAGUUCUUCAGAUAUCUUCAAAGAACUUUGGAUCUGGUCUUGUGGUCUUGCCUUCAGAUUAGAUUAUUUUAAUAAAAUGCAUUAACAAACAUUUUCCAACAAGCAUGAGUGUGGAUGAAGUCAGGACAGCUUUGGGCUCAUCAGAACACAGAUGAUUGUUACCCAAGGUCCUCCCCAGCUUGGUUUCUGGUGCUUCAAAAAAAGCUUUUUGAAUGCUCUUGAAAGAAUCUGCAAGUUGGCUCAUGAAAUAAAGGAGAAUCAAAUUCCACAAUUAACUAGGCAGUCAUCUAGCACAUGCAGCUCUCCAUACUUGCCAAGCACUACCAAUACUCUAAAAAAGAACCCUCUUAAUAAGAAAUGUUGUUAUAUGGAUUAGGCUAAGCUGGGGUUGCCUAGCUCCAAAGAAACCAAAUAUGGUGACUGUGACACAGCACUCUACCUUCCACAUGAGAUCACCAGAUAUCUUUGAUAGUGAGGUAUGAGAAUGGGAUUAUAUAUUCAGCAUGCAAAAUACAGAAUCACUUUCUACAUCUAGGGUUGCAUCAAGUUAAAUGGCAAGAAUGCGAUCAAAUAGUUUCCCUCUUUAAAAUAAAAAUAAAACAAGCAAAAAAAAAAAAAAUAUCCUCCUCUUAUUGUCACAUUCCUGUAGUCAUCAGACAAGUGCUGUCUGAUGACAACAAACACUGCAGUCCUAUAUGGUAUUUGACGAGUGCUGAACGCUGUAGUCUGGUACAAAGCAGGAACUGUGUCUAACAGAAAAUGCAAAGUCAUUUCCCCAGGCCUGACUUUAUUCUAGGAAAAUUAUCUUGCUCCCUGGCCAAGAGAUGUGUAGAUCCUCUGAGUUACUGGUGGAAGGAGCUUCUUUUGGCUGCUUGCAAAAGGAGGUGAGGGGGACUAGCUCAGCUAAGAUAAAGGUAGCGUCUGGGGAUUCUUCAUCUAGUUCCUGCUCCACACUGGUGAGGCCUCACCUCAUGUACUGGGUAAAGUUUCAGGUGUCACAACAUAAGAGGAACAUAAAACUAUUAGAGAGCAUCCAAAGGAAGGCUACAAAGAUGUAGGGUCUGGAGGGGAAAAUAUAUGAGGAGAGGCCGAGGUCCCUUGGUUUGCUCAGCCCCGAGCAGAGCAGGCU
Non-coding RNA from Anas platyrhynchos (mallard), 3699 nucleotides. Lineage: Eukaryota; Metazoa; Chordata; Aves; Anseriformes; Anatidae. The record is from RefSeq and is a predicted model, not a curated record.